AUGGCAGAGAAGAUCUCCACGCUAAUCCUCAAGGUUGAUCUUGGGUGCUGCCCGUGUUACAAAAAGAUCCGCAAGAUCCUUUGCAAACUCCAAGACAAGGAGAGGAUCAGGACCAUCUCGUACGACGAUGGGAACCAUACGAUCGCGGUGGCCGGGCCGUUCGACCCGCACAAGCUCUCCUGCAAAAUCAGGUGCAAGGGAGGCAAGGUGAUCAAGGGCGUCGACAUCCUGCAACACAACGGCGGUGGCGAGUCGCCGGCAAUGAACAACGGUAAGAACAAUCACAAGGGGAAGAUAAAGGAGCCGCCGCGAUCAUCGCCAGUUCAUGAGCCACCCACGCCGCCACCCGUGGCCGAGAAGCCACCGUCGCCCGUGCAGCCGGCUCCCCCGGACAGCCACGUAUCACCGGUGAUGGAGGCGACGAUCGAGCAGAAGAAGCCGGGGGAGAACCCUGUCGAGCUAGAGCUGCCGUUGGGUUCUUCGUUCCCGGCGCCGGCGGAGCCAGUAGUGGAGAAGGCGAGGCCCGUUUCGCCGGUCGACGUGAAGCCACCGACGGUGGAGAUCCCUUCGUGGCCGGCACCACCGCAACCAAUGGCAAUGGGACACUGCGGCUGCUCCUGCUGCAAGCCGUGCUACCAGGGGUACUACGAGGGGUGCAGGUGCUGCAGCUGCGGCAGGGUGUACGGCUACGCCGUCAGCGUCGUGCCGACGCCGGCGGUGGCGGGGUGCUACGCAGGCGCAGGCGGGGGGUACAGUUACAGGUCGGCCUGCCAACUCUUCAGCGAGGAGGAUCCCACCAGUGCUUGCACCGUCAUGUGA
This 819-nucleotide ribosomal RNA is filed under the name Triticum aestivum (bread wheat). Its description in RNAcentral is "partial small subunit ribosomal RNA". The record is from RNAcentral. Lineage: Eukaryota; Viridiplantae; Streptophyta; Magnoliopsida; Poales; Poaceae.